Molecule: long non-coding RNA, 969 nt
Organism: Gymnogyps californianus (California condor)
Lineage: Eukaryota; Metazoa; Chordata; Aves; Accipitriformes; Cathartidae
Exons: 3
Source: RefSeq, a predicted model, not a curated record
AACAGGAUGUGUUGUGCUGUCCAAAAAGCUGACAUUUCCUGUUUUCAGUUUUGCUGAUGGACUUCAGUGGUAUUUCCAUCCUACAGGGAUCACUUAAGGAGUUCACCUUCCUUUACGUUUGGAGACCCAGGUGCUGAGGAAAAAGCAAAAGAGUAAGAAAAGAGAUGAAAGAACUUGUAACCAAGAUUGCUUGGAUUCUGGAUGAACAGCAAGAUCCAGUUUCCAUUGCUUUGGGGAAUCUUUUAACAGCAAGAAGAUGAGUCUGUGAAGAAGGAAACAUACAAAGCUCUAAGAUGGAGGUAUGCAAGAAUCCUUGACAUAGCUAAGAAAUGUGAAGUUGGUCUUAGUGUAUCUAUUUGCUAAGUCCUCUAUUAGAAUUCUUGCUGCUCCUCAGAAAAUUCUGCCUCUGUCAAACCAUUUCUGUAUGCAGGAAAGCAUUGUGUUUACAGCUCUGUGAAGAAUUACCUUGGGUUUCCUGCAGACUUGUAAACCAGCUGUGUAUUUCCUUCAGUCUUAAUCUUAUGCUUGUAAGAAAAAGUGUUUGGAAGCUUGAAGUUAGGCUGAAUUGUCUUCCCAUUCCUUCAAAUCAUGGUCACAGAAGCUGGUUCUGAUGCUUAUUACUAGUUGACCAUGGUAUCCUAACUGCUGAGUUUGUCUUGUUAUCUCUAUAGACAGGCUGCUCUGUUACCAGGUACUGUUAGACUGGAGAAGGGAAGGGUCCAGCAAAAUAAUUUGAACAAUUGUGUUGGUUUAAAUAUUUAGAUCUAACCACCAGCUUCUUGCGAUUGUGUUGUAACCAUGUGUUUUUGUUUCCUGUCUAUAAAAUGUGACAAAUACUUUCUUCUUCCCAUCAUAUAUGAAAUUAUAUGCUCUUUAGGAUACUGACUUUUCAGUUCAUAAGGCUCAGAGGACCCCUUGUGACCCUUAAGCACACCAAUGCUGUCAUCAAUAAAAUGAUCUUAAGUCUUC